UGUUUGGAAUGUGAAGCAGAACUUCAGAGAGAGAGGUGAUCAAAAUGGACGGGAAGAAAAGGUAGAAAAACUGGUGAAAGAAAAAUGCAUUAAAAGAUUCAUGAAAAUGAAAAUAGUGGACUGAAUAGUGGACCCUAGGUAAAUCCUAAGGCCGAUUGAAAGAUCUGCACUUUGCUGUCUCUAUGGGAGAUCAGUGAGAUUUGGAGAGGAGUGUGCAGCCUAGAGGCCAAGAAGGCUGGAGAUGGGGUGCGACCCCAUAUCUUGCUGAUCAAAGCAUCGAGAAAGUUUGAAAUCAAUGAGGACGAGAGCAGAAGCACCUGAGAUGUUGUCCUUGAAGUUAAAAGAGAACUGAUAUAAAGUACAAUGAAUCAUGCUGAAUGUCCUGGAUGAUUAUACAAGUUUCAAAAUAACAAAAAAAGGAAAAGGGCCUGAAGCAAAAGUAUGGGCACCCUGCACGUGCCUGCCAGAUGAAUGCAUACAGGUCGAUAUUUGCUCUUCCAUUCUUUGGGAAUUAUAAACUGAAACCUGCAGCAAUGGCAGUAAUUUUAUAGCCCCAUGAUUACAUGUGUGAAUCAGCAUCUCCUAACACCUGUUUGGUCCUAUCCAAUUUGGUCUCAUUCUUCCAUGAGAGCAAUCCCCCGGGUUACGAACGAGUUCCGUUCCUGAGUCCAUCUUUAAGUCAGAUUUGCACGUGUCGGAACAGUAUGCAAGUCGGAACAGAAAUCAGAUGACAGAGGAGAAGAAGCUGUUCCAGAAUUGCUGAGUGUGUGCCUUCAGGCUUCUGUACCUCCUGCCCAAUGGUAACAGUGAGAAAAGGGCAUGUCCUGGGUGGUAAGGAUCCUUAAUGAUGGACGUCGCCUUCCUAAGGCACCACUCCUUGAAGAUGUCUUGGAUACUAUGGAGGUGGCAACUUCUGCAAGGAUAAAGCAUUCCUCCCUCAAUAAUAACAUUGACAGGAGACACAAUCCAGACUAUUUGAGGGGCAAGUGAUUCGUUAUUAAGAACAGAUGAUGCUCAAUAAGGUUGGACAACACUGUUCAACUACUGAAUAUCAUUAAGCUGUCUAAAACAGUUCCUACAUCAACUGCAUUAAACCCCGUAUGUAAUUUAUUCACAUAUAGGAUAAAAGCAUUGCUGGCACAGUUAACAUUUAGUGGCCAAGGUACCCUUGAGAAGAUCUGUCAUGAAUAUAAUUUAUGUAGUAAUAUAUACCAUUACACGUGUUUGGAUAAUAGUUGCCUUCCUCCAAGCCAGCCAGGGUUAUGGUGCUUUUUGGAAUUUCCAUCUCACUGUUUUGAUCUUUGGCUGUUGUCACUUUUGUUGGAAAUUUGCAAGGUCUGUGUUUGAAGAUGUGCAUUCAGCAGGCUUGAAGAAAAUUAAUAUUUUUUUAAAGCUCCCACCUUUUACUGUACGUAAAGAUGAAACAACAUACUAGGUCAGCUUCCUUCUUAAACCACUACAGCCAAUAUCAAGCCUGAAAUGUCACUUUUGGGUAGAAAAUUAAUUUUGUGCUCUCUGAUAAAGGAGCUCACCUGUUUCAAUUAGUCAGUUAUAAUGGGAUGAGAUACUUGGCUUUCCAUGAUGUCUCAGUGAAUUCAACAUGCAGAUUUUGGACCUCUCACUCAAACUCUUCUGUGAGAAUAAUAAAAAAGAGAAAGAAAACAUGCUUGACAUUGGAGAGAUGGAGAAGGAUGAACAGAAGGAAUGUUUUGAGAUCAGGUGCGGACCAAAGUGGGUGAAGGAACAAACACGAGGAAAUCUGCAGACGCUGAAAUUCAAGCAACACACAUGAAAUGCUGGUGGAACACAGCAGGCCAGGCAGCAUCUAUAGGGAGAAGCGCUGUCGACGUUUCGGGCCAAGACCCUUCGUCAGGACUAACUGAAAGGAAAGAUAAUGAGAGAUUUGGAAGUAGGAGGGAGAGGGGGAAAUGCAAAAUGAUAGAAGACUGGAGGGGGUGGGGUGAAGCUAAGAGUUGGAAAGUUGAUUGACAAAGGGAUACAGAGCUGGAGAAGGAAAAGGAUCAUGGGACGGGAGGCCUAGGGAGAAAGAAAGGGGGAGGGAAGCACCAGAGGGAGAUGGAGUACAGGCAGAGUGAUGGGCAGAGAGAGAACAAAACGGGGGGAAAAUUAAAUAAAUCAGAGAUGAGGGGAGGAAGGGCAUUAACUUAAGUUAGAGAAGUCAAUGUUCAUGCCAUCAGGUUGGAGGCUUAAAAUGUGUAGCCACUGGGAGAUCCUGCUUUCUCUGGCAGACAGAGCGUAGUGUUCAGUGAAACGGUCUCCCAGUCUGUGUCAGGUCUCACCAAUAUAUAAAAGGCCACACUGGGAGCACCGGACACAGUAUACCACACCAGCUGACUCACAGGUGAAGUGUCGCCUCACCUGGAAGGACUGUCUGGGACCCUGAAUGGUGGUGAGGGAGGAAGUGUAAGGGCAAGUGUAGCAUUUGUUCUGCUUACAAGGAUAA
This is a long non-coding RNA of Hypanus sabinus (Atlantic stingray), 2464 nucleotides long. RefSeq lists it as uncharacterized. Lineage: Eukaryota; Metazoa; Chordata; Chondrichthyes; Myliobatiformes; Dasyatidae. The transcript is spliced from 10 exons. The record is from RefSeq and is a predicted model, not a curated record.